This 321-nucleotide ribosomal RNA is filed under the name uncultured Bacillota bacterium. Its description in RNAcentral is "bacterial SSU rRNA". It matches the Rfam family "Bacterial small subunit ribosomal RNA", at positions 28 to 351 of the family's 1533-position model. The record is from RNAcentral. Lineage: Bacteria; Bacillati; Bacillota.
GACGAACGCUGGCGGCGUGCCUAACACAUGCAAGUCGAGCGGAGCUAAUAGUAAUAUUAGUUUAGCGGCGGACGGGUGAGUAACGCGUGGGCAACCUGCCUCACACUGGGGGAUAACACUGGGAAACUAGUGCUAAUACCGCAUAACAUCAUGAAAGGACAUCCUUUUAUGAUCAAAGGAGCAAUCCGGUGAGAGAUGGGCCCGCGUCCAAUUAGCUAGUUGGUGAGGUAAUGGCCCACCAAGGCGACGAUUGGUAGCCGAACUGAGAGGUUGAUCGGCCACAUUGGGACUGAGAUACGGCCCAGACUCCUACGGGAGCAG